Molecule: ribosomal RNA, 913 nt
Filed under: uncultured compost archaeon
Lineage: Archaea
Description: bacterial SSU rRNA
Rfam family: Archaeal small subunit ribosomal RNA
Source: RNAcentral
UUCCGGUUGAUCCCGCCGGAGGUCACUGCUAUCGGGGUUCGAUUAAGCCAUGCGAGUCGAGAGGGUUCAGACCCUCGGCGGACUGCUCAGUAGCACGUGGAUAAUCUGCCCUAUGGUGGAGGAUAACCCCGGGAAACUGGGGAUAAUACUCCAUAAGUCAGGAGUACUGGAAUGUCUCCUAACUGAAAGUUUCGGCGCCAUAGGAUGAAUCUGCGGCCGAUUAGGUAGUUGUUGGGGUAACGGCCCAACAAGCCCGUAAUCGGUACGGGUUGUGGGAGCAAGAGCCCGGAGAUGGAAUCUGAGACACGAUUCCAGGCCCUACGGGGCGCAGCAGGCGCGAAAACUUUACAAUGCAGGAAACUGUGAUAAGGGAACCCCGAGUGCCCGUACACGCGGGCUGUCCCGGUGUUUAAAACACAUCGGAAGAAAGGGCCGGGCAAGACCGGUGCCAGCCGCCGCGGUAAUACCGGCGGCUCGAGUGGUGACCACUUUUAUUGGGCUUAAAGCGUUCGUAGCUUGAUUUUUAAGUCUCUUGGGAAAUCUCACGGCUUAACUGUGAGGCGUCUAAGAGAUACUGGGAAUCUAGGGACCGGGAGAGGUAAGAGGUACUUCAGGGGUAGAAGUGAAAUUCUGUAAUCCUUGAGGGACCACCGAUGGCGAAGGCAUCUUACCAGAACGGCUUCGACAGUGAGGAACGAAAGCUGGGGGAGCGAACGGGAUUAGAUACCCCGGUAGUCCCAGCCGUAAACUAUGCGCGUUAGGUGUGCCUGUAACUACGAGUUACCGGGGUGCCGAAGUGAAAACGUGAAACGUGCCGCCUGGGAAGUACGGUCGCAAGGCUGAAACUUAAAGGAAUUGGCGGGGGAGCACCACAACGGGUGGAGCCUGCGGUUUAAUUGGAUUCAACGCCGGG